UGCAUGCAGCGUAAGCCUAGUUCGGUUUUGUUCGCAUGUAUCGUGCUCACAAGGUCGCAUGCCGUCGACUCGCCGGCUUUGCGCACCUCUUGCAUUCUUAUCAUAUACUGUCCCGUCGUUGUUUACGCAGUUUCGGCAUGCACUAUCGGUCGGUUGCAGCCAGUUUCAAGCCGGUUGCUAGUUAAUUCAGUCGUGCUUUGAGAGACUUAUAUCGUUUAUUCGGACUUCAAUAUUCUAAAUUUGUGUUAUACUCGAAGAUCAAUCGACUAAUUAUUUGUACUUUGCGACUAUAGUAAUUUGUUUAAUGUUCGGAAAUGCCGGUUUUUGAUCGCGUUUGUUAUGUAUAUUACAAGUCACGUGAUAGUGGAUUUGAUAACAUUCUUCACUCGGCGUUGUGUUUGGUGUCGGCUACUAAAUUAAUCAGAUAUAUAUCGCCCCAAUGUUGAUUCUCAUCUUUAAGAAUGCUCCAUCAGGCUCGUGUACUGCACUCGUUGUGCCUGGCAGUCCGAUAAGCUGUACACUGGAGUCUCUACUACCGCCACCUUCGUACGGUGCCUUGAAUGGGAGUCACUACAGUCGCUGCCUUCGUACGGUGCCCUAAAUGGGACUUUUUAUGGAUCCUUUGGAUGAAGCAUUGGCAAUUCCUGAGAUGCCCAAGUUUAUCAAUAAGGAGCAAGUUGAGAGAUUCCGUGGUACUGGUAGAGUGCGUAUUGAGGAUGAUGUUUUGACUACUGAAAAUGGAUGUGUCAACUGGACAUUUUAGUCCAGUGGGUAUUUUAACCCAGAACUGUCCACGAAAUUGAAGAUUGGAUUGCCGGUGUUGAUGAUGAUUCCAAACACGAUUGAAUGAAUUUACAACAUUUUGAAGCUGAUAUUGAUAUCAUAUUAUGUAUCUAGUUAAAUGGUAUAAAAGGGCAUUAUAUAAUUGCAUAUUAUUAUCCUGUUUUCAUGCAUGUAUUGUUAAAAAUGCUGUAUAUAUUGAGGAAUUGAGUUUGUGAUUCUACAUGUUUGAAUAAAAUUGUUGUUUUAUAUUUUUGACUAUAAA
Long non-coding RNA from Dalotia coriaria, 1045 nucleotides. RefSeq lists it as uncharacterized. The record is from RefSeq and is a predicted model, not a curated record. The transcript has 5 exons. NCBI's taxonomy places the organism in Eukaryota, Metazoa, Arthropoda, Insecta, Coleoptera, Staphylinidae.